CGUCCGGGAGUUACUCCAACCCAAUGUGACGUUACCAAACUGUUGCCUCGGCGGGGUCACGCCCCGGGUGCGUCGCAGCCCCGGAACCAGGCGCCCGCCGGAGGAACCAACCAAACUCUUUCUGUAGUCCCCUCGCGGACGUAUUUCUUACAGCUCUGAGCAAAAAUUCAAAAUGAAUCAAAACUUUCAACAACGGAUCUCUUGGUUCUGGCAUCGAUGAAGAACGCAGCGAAAUGCGAUAAGUAAUGUGAAUUGCAGAAUUCAGUGAAUCAUCGAAUCUUUGAACGCACAUUGCGCCCGCCAGUAUUCUGGCGGGCAUGCCUGUCCGAGCGUCAUUUCAACCCUCGAACCCCUCCGGGGGAUCGGCGUUGGGGAUCGGGACCCCUCACACGGGUGCCGGCCCCUAAAUACAGUGGCGGUCUCGCCGCAGCCUCUCCUGCGCAGUAGUUUGCACAACUCGCACCGGGAGCGCGGCGCGCCCACGUCCGUAAAACACCCAACUUUCUGAAAUGUUGACCUCGGAUCAGGUAGGAAUACCCGCUGAACUUAAGCAUAUCAAUAAGGCGAGAGGAA
Molecule: ribosomal RNA, 573 nt
Filed under: Trichoderma asperellum
Lineage: Eukaryota; Fungi; Ascomycota; Sordariomycetes; Hypocreales; Hypocreaceae
Description: eukaryotic LSU rRNA
Rfam family: 5.8S ribosomal RNA (bases 182-335)
Source: RNAcentral